GCCAUAACAGUAUUACUUUGUAACGAGUACUUUUUCUCAUUCUAUCGAAUAAGGAGUAAAAGCUUUCUAUUAUACCCCGAGAGUGUAAAUUUGCAAGGAGUCGAUGUCAACGUUCACAAGAACCAAAACAGGAACAACGUUAGACUACUUACUUGAGCCCUAACAGUAUAACAUUGCAAUUAGUACUUUUUCUCAUUCAAUUGAACAAAGAGUAAAACCUAGUUAUAUUGUUCUAUUAUAACCCGAGAGUGUAAAUUUGGAACGAAUCGAUGCAACGUUCAUAAGAACCAAAACCGGAACAACAUUAGAAAACUCUAUUGCGCCACAACUGUAAGGUACCGAACUUCUAAAAUCAUGAAGUUACGGUGUACAUUUGGUUGGAGAGCCAUUGGAAAGGUUCCGGUGAAGUUCGGUGAAGUUCGGGAGCAUUCGGGCGAUUCGGUGCGCGUAGGCGCGGAAACGGAACCCGAAAGGCUAUGUUGGUCCAUGGAUUAAAUCCAGCAUUAGCAUGGAUGAAAAGAUGGUGAAAACAUGUUUGAAAACAUGUUGGGAGAGUCUCGGUUCGAUUUGAAACGAAUCAGAGGUCAAACGAGCAAAAACGGACGAAAACGGAGCGAAAACGGUGAAAAAGCUGAAAAUUUGGCUAAGUCCUAAAUGCUGUUUUUCUGGGCCUUCGGGGACCGGUCCCUCAAGUCCAGAGACCGGUCCCAGCACCCGAAAAUGGCCCAGUUUGGGCUGUGCACAACUAAUAUUGUUGAGGGGCCUUUGUGCAAUUGUGCAGAGUGUAUAGAGAGAGUUGGGGGCUCAUUUCCUCUCCCUCCCAAUACGUUGCAACCAAGAGCUCUCCCUCUCUCUCUCUAAGUGCUCUUCUUCUCUCUCUAGAAGGUGAUGGAGGAGAGGAUUUUGGUGGAGAUCAAGAUCAAGAGAGGGGAUUUCUUCUUCUUCUUCUCCUUCCUUGGCUAGUAGCAAGCUUGGAGAGGUAAGCUUCAAAACCCUUUAAUGGCAUCUCUUUAUAGCUUGGGUUUUAAGCUCUAGGAAUGGGUUUAGAUGUAUUCUAGCAUGCUAAAUAGAGAUUUGGUGCUUGAAUCCAAAGCUCUAAUGGUGGAUUCUUGCCUAGUUAUAAACCUAGGGCUCAAAAUGGGAUUUUGAGAAAUAGUUGGGUUUGAUCUCAUUUAACCCUCUGUAAACCUAAUUGAUAGGUCACUGAACGCGUUGGAAGCGACGGUUCGUCGAUUCGUCGAGCAGGUGCGACGUUCCGGCUGAAACAGGUGUUGUAGGCUUCGUUUCCGCCUGGAGGGCCGAGGCGACGUCGUAAAAUCCUGGAAACGGAUUUGGAGCAUCAUAACAAGAAACCGAAGGCCUAUAAUUUUCGGAUCGCGGAUCGGAGGUCGUUUGGUGGUCGCGCGCGCAUUGGGUCAAGUCGAGCGACGUGCGCCGCGGGAGGCCGAUUGCGAGUGACGACGAGCAAUCGGAACGCGAUAAAGGUGGGGGGUGUCAUCCCGAAGCAAUCGGGCUUCUCCUUAUGUCCAAGUAUCUUUAUGUUGAUCAAUUAUGCAUAUUGAGCAUGAUGCAUUAUAGGGUGCUUGAUUAGUGUUAUUACAUAUUCUUGCAUGUUAGUGUAAUAUAGUGUUGUUGGCAGAAUACUUGUACCUAAUAUGCAUGUGAUUGGGACAUAGUGUAGUGAAACCCUAUAAUGACAAGAUUAAUGUGGAUAGACUCUAGUUGAAAGAACACCUAGUCGUCGUGUACAAUUAGAGUAUUGAGAACGAGUGGCAUGUAAACAAUGAUCAUAACAAUAACGAGUGGCAUUGGAACCUAGUUAUGAUAUUUGAGUAUAGGGAUUAGUUGAGUUUUCCCUAGUUAUGAUACAUUGCAUGGGUGGAUUUCCCUAGUUACGGUUUGGUAGAGAACCUAAAGAGUUGUGUUGUUAACCCUAGAUGGUAGGGUAUCCUCAGUGACGGGGAUUUGAUCAUACUCUAUGUCUGUUCGAAGCUUGGUGUGGUCGCUCCACACAAGCAGUGCACUCCGGAGUUGUCACACGAUAGGGAUAGCCUUUUGGGUCCCGAGGGGUUAGCCUUUUUGGGCCCCGCAGACGGUCUGGGUUGAGUGAGUAGUUCUCGCCUUGAGCGAGCGGUUCCUCACCCAUGAGAUUGAGUGGUGGUUGAGUGAGUAGUUCUCACCUUGAGUGAGCGGUUCCUCAUCCACUAGAUUGAGAUCGACUUGUGGCACCUAUGUCGAGAGUUAGGUGAGUGAGCGGAUCCUCACCAGUGUGACUGAGAGUAGGUGUGGCACCUAUAGCAUAGUCAUGAGAUUGAGAGUGUGCCUCUAGGCUAGCCGAGUGAUUGGGUAAACUAUUGAGCAUAUAGUAGUGUGAUGGUUGGCCUUUACUGAGAUUUGAGUGGAACAGCCUUGUACCUAUUCGAGAUUGAGUCGGACCGUCGAGAGGCGAGUCGGGUGAGGAGCGGGGUAGCUCAUUGCCUAGGACUUUCGAGAUUGGGUCGGACCUUCAAGAUAUGAGUCGGGCAAGGAGCGGGGUAGCUCUUUGUCUAGGACACUUGAGAUAUGAGUUAGGCGGGAAAGGAGCGGGGUAGCUCUUCACCUCCUGGACUUGAGACCUUAGGCAAGAUUGGCCUAGUCGAUUGGAUAGUAACAUGAAUUGCAUAAGUGGAUUGCAUUCAUACCAUGAUUAGACAUAGUAGAUCGCAUAUCUAUGUUGUAGUUGUAUUCAUUACAUUGUUGAAGCAUACUAGCAUGAUAGUAGGUUAUUGCUAGAUGAUGUUCCAUGCAUUCUUUGCAUUUGAUGGCAUAGUAGAUAUAGUAGCAGUUAUUUCUAUCUAUCUUUCUAUCUAUCUAUCUGUGCCAGCUUGGACCUAGUGGGAAGAUCGGCGGAGUCGGCGGCCGAACCCACUGGAACUAUAUUUAUAUAGUUCUCACCCCGUGUGGUUUUGGGGUACAGGUACACACGAGAGCGGACCGGCAGAUGAUCGCGGCAAGGGCUUAGCGCCCUAGUGCUAGUUGGUAGAUGCUUUCCUAUUGCAUUACUUGUCACCCUAUAUACUUGAGAGUAGAUGAUGUAUAGGUGUGAGGCUAUUUUGGAAAAUGUAAACUUUAAGUUUAUGCUUUGGAUGAAUGUAAAGCUAAGUUGGAAUCAAAGGUAUUAGAGUUGAAUGGAUGUAAUAGCUUAGUAUCUCUCUUUUGAUCACUUGUUUAUUACUUGUGAUGCUUGCUCUUGAUUGUUUAGCACUGGUUGUGCUCUCGUCGCUGUUGUUGCAUGAUUGUGUAUGUAAUCAAGUUGAUUUCCUGGGAACUUGUUGUACACCAUCUCGUUUGAGCCUUGGGCGGACAGGGGAGGUGCUGUCCGUUCGGCGGUCCGCCCGCCGCGCCCGAACAGUGCCAAAUCGGCAGCGGCCUCGGGGCGGGGCGUGACAACAACAGUAUAACUUUGCAACGAGUACUUUUUCUCAUUCUAUCGAACAAGGAGUAAAAGCUUUCUAUUAUGCCCCGAGAGUGUAAAUUUGGAACGAAACGAUAUCAAUGUUCACAAGAACCAAAACCGGAACAACGUUAGACUACUGAGUUGAGCCAUAACAGUAUAACUUUGCAACUAUAACUUUUUCUCAUUUAAUCGAACAAAGAGUAAAACCUAAUUAUAUUGUUCUAUUAUAACCUGAGACUGUAAAUUUGGAACGAAUCGAUGCAACGUUCACAAGAAACAAAACCGGAACAACAUUAGACUACUCUGUUGCGCCCUACCAGUUUAACUUUGCAACGAGUACUUUUUCUAAUUCUAUCGAACAAGGAAUAAAAGCUGUCUAUUAUGCCCCGAGAGUGUAAAUUUGGAACGAAACGAUGUCAACGUUCACAAGAACCGAAACCGGAACAACGUUAGACUACUCAGUUGAGCCCUAACAGAAUAACUUUGCAAGUAGAACUUUUUCUCAUUUAAUCGAACAAAGAGCGAAACCUAAUUAUAUUGUUCUAUUAUGCCCCGAGAGUGUAAAUUUGGAACGAAUCGAUGUCAAAGUUCACAAGAACCAAAACCGAAACUAAAUUAGACUACUAAGUUGCGCCAUAACAAUAUAACUUUGCAACGAGUAAUUUUUCUCAAUCAAUCGAAUAAAGAGUAAAACCUAAUUAUAUUGUUAUAUUAUGCCCCGAUAGUGUAAAUUUGGAACGAAUCGAUGUCAACGUUCACAAGAACCAGAACCGGAACAACAUUAGACUACUCUGUUGCGACCUAACAGUUUAGCUUUGCAACGAGUACUUUUUCUAAUUCUAUCGAACAAGGAGUAAAAGCUUUCUAUUAUACCCCGAGAGUGUAAAUUUGGAAUGAAUCGAUGUCAACGUGCACAAAAACCCAAACCGGAACAACGUUAGACUACUCAGUUGAGCCCUAACAGUAUAACAUUGCAACUAGUACUUUUUCUCAUUCAAUCGAACAAGGAGUAAAACCUAAUUAUAUUGUUCUAUUAUGCACCGAGAGUGUAAAUUUGGAACGAAUCGAUGUCAAUAUUCACAAGAACCAAAACCGGAACAACAUUAGACUACUCUGUUGCGCCAUAAAAGAAUAACUUUGUAACGAGUACUUUUUCUCAUUCUAUCGAACAAGGAGUAAAAGCUGUCUAUUAUGCUCCGAGAGUGUAAAUUUGGAACGAAACGAUGUCAACGUUCACAAGAACCAAAACCGGAACAACGUUAGACUACUUAGUUGAGCUCUAACAUUAUAACUUCGCAACUAGAACUUUUUCUCAUUUAAUCGAACAAGGAGCAAAACCUAAUUAUAUUGUUCUAUUAUGCCCCGAGAGUGUAAAUUUGGAACGAAUCGAUGUCAAUGUUCACAAGAACCAAAACCGAAACUAAAUUAGACUACUCAGUUGCGCCAUAACAGUAUAACUUUUCAACGAGUACUUUUUCUCAAUCAAUCGAAUAAAGAGUAAAACCUAAUUAUAUUGUUAUAUUAUGCCCCGAGAGUGUAAAUUUGGAACGAAUCGAUAUCAACGUUCACAAGAACCAGAACCGGAACAAUAUUGGACUACUCUGUUGCGCCAUAACAGUAUUACUUUGUAACGAGUACUUUUUCUCAUUCUAUUGAACAAGGAGUAAAAGCUUUCUAUUAUGCCCCGAGAGUGUAAAUAUGGAACGAAACGAUGUCAACGUUCAUAAGAACCAAAACCGGAACAACAUUAGACUACUCAGUUGAGCCCUAACAGUAUAACUUUGCAACUAGAAUUUUUUCUCAUUUAAGCGAACAAAGCGCAAAACCUAAUUAUAUUGUUCUAUUAUACCCCGAGAGUGAAAAUUUGGAACGAAUCGAUGUCAAAGUUCACAAGAACCAAAACCGGAACUAAAUUAGACUACUCAGUUGCGCCAUAACAGUAUAACUUUGCAACGUGCACUUUUUCUCAUUCAAUCGAAUAAAGAGUAAAACCUAGUUAUAUUGUUCUAUUAUACCCCGAGAGUGUAAAUUUGGAACGAAUCGAUGUCAAAGUUCACAAGAACCAAAACCGGAACUAAAUUAGACUACUCAGUUGCGCCAUAACAGUAUAACUUUGCAACGUGCACUUUUUCUCAUUCAAUCGAAUAAAGAGUAAAACCUAGUUAUAUUGUUCUAUUAUGCCCCGAGAGUGUAAAUUUGGAACGAAUCGAUGUCAGCGUUCACAAGAACCAAAACCGGAACAACAUUAAACUACUCUGUUGCGCCAUAACAGUAUAAAUUGUAACGAGUACUUUUUCUCAUUCUAUCGAAUAGGGAGUUAAAGCUUUCUAUUAUGCCCCGAGAGUGUAAAUUUGGAACGAAUCGAUGUCAACGUUCACAAGAACCAAAACAGGUACAACGUUAGACUACUUAGUUGAGCCCUAACAGUAUAACAUUACAAUUAGUACUUUUUCUCAUUCAAUUGAACAAAGCGUAAAACGUAAUUAUAUUGUUCUAUUAUGCCCCGACAGUGUAAAUUUGGAACGAAUCGAUGUCAUAGUUCGCAAGAUCAAAAACCAGAACUAAAUUAGACUACUCAGUUGCGCCAUAACAAUAUAAUGUUUGCAACGAGUACUUUUUCUCUUUCAAUCGAAUAAAGAGCAAAACCUAGUUAUAUUGUUCUAUUAUGCCCCGAGAGUGUAAAUUUGGAACGAAUCGAUGUCAACAUUCACAAGUGCCAAAACCGGAACAACAUUAGACUACUCUGUUGCGCCAUAGCAGAAUAACUUUGUAACGAGUACUUUUUCUCAUUCUACCGAGCAAGGAGUAAAAGUUUUCUAUUAUGCCCCGAGAGUGUAAAUUUGGAACGAAUCGAUGUCAACGUUCACAGGAACCAAAACCGGAACAACGUUAGACUACUCAGUUGAGCCCUAACAGUAUAACUUUGCAACUAGAACUUUUUCUCAUUUAAUAGAACAAAGCGCAAAACCUAAUUAUAUUGUUAUAUUAUGCCCCGAGAGUGUAAACUUGGAACGAAUCGAUGUUAACGUUCACAAGAACCAGAACCGGAACAACAUUAGACUACUUUGUUGAGCCAUAACAAUAUUACUUUGUAACGAGUACUUUUUCUCAUUCUAUCGAACAAGGAGUAAAAGCUUUCUAUUAUGCCCCGAGAGUGUAAAUUUGGAACGAAACGAUGUCAACGUUCACAAGAACCAAAACCGGAACAACGUUAGACUACUCAGUUGAGCCCUAACAGUAUAACUUUGCAACUAGAACUUUUUCUCAUUUAAUAGAACAAAGCGCAAAACCUAAUUAUAUUGUUAUAUUAUGCCCCGAGAGUGUAAACUUGGAACGAAUCGAAGUUAACGUUCACAAGAACCAGAACCGGAACAACAUUAGACUACUACGUUGUGCCAUAACAGUAUUACUUUGUAACGAGUACUUUUUCUCAUUCUAUCGAACAAGGAGUAAAAGCUUUCUAUUAUGCUCCGAGAGUGAAAAUUUGGAAAGAAACGAUGUCAACGUUCACAAGAACCAAAACCGGAACAACGUUAGACUACUCAGUUGAGCCCUAACAGUAUAACUUUGCAACUAAAACUUUUUCUCAUUUAAUCAACAAAGUGCAAAACCUAAUUAUAUUGUUCUAUUAUGCCCCGAGAGUGUAAAUUUGGAACGAAUCGAUGUCAAACUUCACAAGAACCAAAACCGGAACUAAAUUAGACUACUCAGUUGCGCCAUAACAGUAUAACUUUGCAACGUGCACUUUUUCUCAUUCAAUCGAAUAAAGAGUAAAACCUAGUUAUAUUGUUCUAUUAUACCCCGAGAGUGUAAGUUUGGAACGAAUCAAUGUCAACGUUCACAAGAACCAAAACCGGCACAACAUUAGACUACUCUGUUGCGCCUUAACAGUUUAACUUUGCAACGAGUACUUUUUCUCAUUCUACCGAACAAGGUGUAAAAGCAGUCUAUUAUACCCCGAGAGUGUAAAUUUGGAACGAAGCGUUGUCAACGUUCACAAGAACCAAAACCGGAACAAUGUUAGACUACUCAGUUGAGCCAAAACAGUAUAACUUUGCAACUAGAACUUUUUCUCAUUUAAUAGAACAAAGCGCAAAACCUAAAUAUAUUGUUCUAUUAUGCCCCGAGAGUGUAAAUUUGGAACGAAUCGAUAUCAACGUUCACAAGAAUCAUAACCGGAACAACAUUAGACUACUCUAUUGCGCCAUAACAGUAUAACUUUGCAACGAGUACUUUUUCUAAUUCUAUCGAAUAAGGAGUAAAAGCUUUCUAUUAUGCCCCGAGAGUGUAAAUUUGGAACGAAUCAAUGUCAACGUUCACAAUAACCAAAACAGGAACAACGUUAGACUACUCAGUUGAGCCCUAACAGUAUAACAUUGCAACUAGUACUUUUUCUUAUUCAAUCGAACAAAGAGUAAAACCAAAUUAUAUUAUUCUAUUAUACCCCGAGAGUGUAAAUUUGGAACGAAUCGAUGUCAACGUUCACAAGAACCAAAACCGGAACAACAUUAGACUACUCUGUUGCGCUAUAACAGAAUUACUUUGCAACGAGUACUUUUUCUCAUUCUAUCGAACAAGGAGUAAAAGCUGUCUAUUAUGCCCCGAGAGUGUAAAUUUGGAACGAAACGAUGUCAACGUUCACAAGAACCAAAACCGGAACAACGUUAGACUACUUAGUUGAGCUCUAACAGAAUAACUUUGCAACUAGAACUUUUUCUCAUUUAAUCGAACAAGGCGCAAAACCUAAUUAUAUUGUUCUAUUAUGCCCCGAGAGUGUAUAUUUGGAACGAAUCGAUGUCAAAGUUCACAAGAACCAAAACCGGAACUAAAUUAGACUACUCAGUUGCGCCAUAACAGUAUAACUUUGCAACGUGCACUUUUUCUCAUUCAAUCGAGUAAAGAGUAAAACCUAGUUAUAUUGUUCUAUUAUGCCCCGAGAGUGUAAAUUUGGAACGAAUCGAUGUUAGCGUUCACAAGAACCAAAACCGGAACAACAUUAGACUACUCUGUUGCGCCAUAACAGUAUUACUUUGUAACGAGUACUUUUUCUCAUUCUAUCGAAUAAGGAGUAAAAGCUUUCUAUUAUACCCCGAGAGUGUAAAUUUGCAAGGAGUCGAUGUCAACGUUCACAAGAACCAAAACAGGAACAACGUUAGACUACUUACUUGAGCCCUAACAGUAUAACAUUGCAAUUAGUACUUUUUCUCAUUCAAUUGAACAAAGAGUAAAACCUAGUUAUAUUGUUCUAUUAUAACCCGAGAGUGUAAAUUUGGAACGAAUCGAUGCAACGUUCAUAAGAACCAAAACCGGAACAACAUUAGAAAACUCUAUUGCGCCACAACUGUAAGGUACCGAACUUCUAAAAUCAUGAAGUUACGGUGUACAUUUGGUUGGAGAGCCAUUGGAAAGGUUCCGGUGAAGUUCGGUGAAGUUCGGGAGCAUUCGGGCGAUUCGGUGCGCGUAGGCGCGGAAACGGAACCCGAAAGGCUAUGUUGGUCCAUGGAUUAAAUCCAGCAUUAGCAUGGAUGAAAAGAUGGUGAAAACAUGUUUGAAAACAUGUUGGGAGAGUCUCGGUUCGAUUUGAAACGAAUCAGAGGUCAAACGAGCAAAAACGGACGAAAACGGAGCGAAAACGGUGAAAAAGCUGAAAAUUUGGCUAAGUCCUAAAUGCUGUUUUUCUGGGCCUUCGGGGACCGGUCCCUCAAGUCCAGAGACCGGUCCCAGCACCCGAAAAUGGCCCAGUUUGGGCUGUGCACAACUAAUAUUGUUGAGGGGCCUUUGUGCAAUUGUGCAGAGUGUAUAGAGAGAGUUGGGGGCUCAUUUCCUCUCCCUCCCAAUACGUUGCAACCAAGAGCUCUCCCUCUCUCUCUCUAAGUGCUCUUCUUCUCUCUCUAGAAGGUGAUGGAGGAGAGGAUUUUGGUGGAGAUCAAGAUCAAGAGAGGGGAUUUCUUCUUCUUCUUCUCCUUCCUUGGCUAGUAGCAAGCUUGGAGAGGUAAGCUUCAAAACCCUUUAAUGGCAUCUCUUUAUAGCUUGGGUUUUAAGCUCUAGGAAUGGGUUUAGAUGUAUUCUAGCAUGCUAAAUAGAGAUUUGGUGCUUGAAUCCAAAGCUCUAAUGGUGGAUUCUUGCCUAGUUAUAAACCUAGGGCUCAAAAUGGGAUUUUGAGAAAUAGUUGGGUUUGAUCUCAUUUAACCCUCUGUAAACCUAAUUGAUAGGUCACUGAACGCGUUGGAAGCGACGGUUCGUCGAUUCGUCGAGCAGGUGCGACGUUCCGGCUGAAACAGGUGUUGUAGGCUUCGUUUCCGCCUGGAGGGCCGAGGCGACGUCGUAAAAUCCUGGAAACGGAUUUGGAGCAUCAUAACAAGAAACCGAAGGCCUAUAAUUUUCGGAUCGCGGAUCGGAGGUCGUUUGGUGGUCGCGCGCGCAUUGGGUCAAGUCGAGCGACGUGCGCCGCGGGAGGCCGAUUGCGAGUGACGACGAGCAAUCGGAACGCGAUAAAGGUGGGGGGUGUCAUCCCGAAGCAAUCGGGCUUCUCCUUAUGUCCAAGUAUCUUUAUGUUGAUCAAUUAUGCAUAUUGAGCAUGAUGCAUUAUAGGGUGCUUGAUUAGUGUUAUUACAUAUUCUUGCAUGUUAGUGUAAUAUAGUGUUGUUGGCAGAAUACUUGUACCUAAUAUGCAUGUGAUUGGGACAUAGUGUAGUGAAACCCUAUAAUGACAAGAUUAAUGUGGAUAGACUCUAGUUGAAAGAACACCUAGUCGUCGUGUACAAUUAGAGUAUUGAGAACGAGUGGCAUGUAAACAAUGAUCAUAACAAUAACGAGUGGCAUUGGAACCUAGUUAUGAUAUUUGAGUAUAGGGAUUAGUUGAGUUUUCCCUAGUUAUGAUACAUUGCAUGGGUGGAUUUCCCUAGUUACGGUUUGGUAGAGAACCUAAAGAGUUGUGUUGUUAACCCUAGAUGGUAGGGUAUCCUCAGUGACGGGGAUUUGAUCAUACUCUAUGUCUGUUCGAAGCUUGGUGUGGUCGCUCCACACAAGCAGUGCACUCCGGAGUUGUCACACGAUAGGGAUAGCCUUUUGGGUCCCGAGGGGUUAGCCUUUUUGGGCCCCGCAGACGGUCUGGGUUGAGUGAGUAGUUCUCGCCUUGAGCGAGCGGUUCCUCACCCAUGAGAUUGAGUGGUGGUUGAGUGAGUAGUUCUCACCUUGAGUGAGCGGUUCCUCAUCCACUAGAUUGAGAUCGACUUGUGGCACCUAUGUCGAGAGUUAGGUGAGUGAGCGGAUCCUCACCAGUGUGACUGAGAGUAGGUGUGGCACCUAUAGCAUAGUCAUGAGAUUGAGAGUGUGCCUCUAGGCUAGCCGAGUGAUUGGGUAAACUAUUGAGCAUAUAGUAGUGUGAUGGUUGGCCUUUACUGAGAUUUGAGUGGAACAGCCUUGUACCUAUUCGAGAUUGAGUCGGACCGUCGAGAGGCGAGUCGGGUGAGGAGCGGGGUAGCUCAUUGCCUAGGACUUUCGAGAUUGGGUCGGACCUUCAAGAUAUGAGUCGGGCAAGGAGCGGGGUAGCUCUUUGUCUAGGACACUUGAGAUAUGAGUUAGGCGGGAAAGGAGCGGGGUAGCUCUUCACCUCCUGGACUUGAGACCUUAGGCAAGAUUGGCCUAGUCGAUUGGAUAGUAACAUGAAUUGCAUAAGUGGAUUGCAUUCAUACCAUGAUUAGACAUAGUAGAUCGCAUAUCUAUGUUGUAGUUGUAUUCAUUACAUUGUUGAAGCAUACUAGCAUGAUAGUAGGUUAUUGCUAGAUGAUGUUCCAUGCAUUCUUUGCAUUUGAUGGCAUAGUAGAUAUAGUAGCAGUUAUUUCUAUCUAUCUUUCUAUCUAUCUAUCUGUGCCAGCUUGGACCUAGUGGGAAGAUCGGCGGAGUCGGCGGCCGAACCCACUGGAACUAUAUUUAUAUAGUUCUCACCCCGUGUGGUUUUGGGGUACAGGUACACACGAGAGCGGACCGGCAGAUGAUCGCGGCAAGGGCUUAGCGCCCUAGUGCUAGUUGGUAGAUGCUUUCCUAUUGCAUUACUUGUCACCCUAUAUACUUGAGAGUAGAUGAUGUAUAGGUGUGAGGCUAUUUUGGAAAAUGUAAACUUUAAGUUUAUGCUUUGGAUGAAUGUAAAGCUAAGUUGGAAUCAAAGGUAUUAGAGUUGAAUGGAUGUAAUAGCUUAGUAUCUCUCUUUUGAUCACUUGUUUAUUACUUGUGAUGCUUGCUCUUGAUUGUUUAGCACUGGUUGUGCUCUCGUCGCUGUUGUUGCAUGAUUGUGUAUGUAAUCAAGUUGAUUUCCUGGGAACUUGUUGUACACCAUCUCGUUUGAGCCUUGGGCGGACAGGGGAGGUGCUGUCCGUUCGGCGGUCCGCCCGCCGCGCCCGAACAGUGCCAAAUCGGCAGCGGCCUCGGGGCGGGGCGUGACAACAACAGUAUAACUUUGCAACGAGUACUUUUUCUCAUUCUAUCGAACAAGGAGUAAAAGCUUUCUAUUAUGCCCCGAGAGUGUAAAUUUGGAACGAAACGAUAUCAAUGUUCACAAGAACCAAAACCGGAACAACGUUAGACUACUGAGUUGAGCCAUAACAGUAUAACUUUGCAACUAUAACUUUUUCUCAUUUAAUCGAACAAAGAGUAAAACCUAAUUAUAUUGUUCUAUUAUAACCUGAGACUGUAAAUUUGGAACGAAUCGAUGCAACGUUCACAAGAAACAAAACCGGAACAACAUUAGACUACUCUGUUGCGCCCUACCAGUUUAACUUUGCAACGAGUACUUUUUCUAAUUCUAUCGAACAAGGAAUAAAAGCUGUCUAUUAUGCCCCGAGAGUGUAAAUUUGGAACGAAACGAUGUCAACGUUCACAAGAACCGAAACCGGAACAACGUUAGACUACUCAGUUGAGCCCUAACAGAAUAACUUUGCAAGUAGAACUUUUUCUCAUUUAAUCGAACAAAGAGCGAAACCUAAUUAUAUUGUUCUAUUAUGCCCCGAGAGUGUAAAUUUGGAACGAAUCGAUGUCAAAGUUCACAAGAACCAAAACCGAAACUAAAUUAGACUACUAAGUUGCGCCAUAACAAUAUAACUUUGCAACGAGUAAUUUUUCUCAAUCAAUCGAAUAAAGAGUAAAACCUAAUUAUAUUGUUAUAUUAUGCCCCGAUAGUGUAAAUUUGGAACGAAUCGAUGUCAACGUUCACAAGAACCAGAACCGGAACAACAUUAGACUACUCUGUUGCGACCUAACAGUUUAGCUUUGCAACGAGUACUUUUUCUAAUUCUAUCGAACAAGGAGUAAAAGCUUUCUAUUAUACCCCGAGAGUGUAAAUUUGGAAUGAAUCGAUGUCAACGUGCACAAAAACCCAAACCGGAACAACGUUAGACUACUCAGUUGAGCCCUAACAGUAUAACAUUGCAACUAGUACUUUUUCUCAUUCAAUCGAACAAGGAGUAAAACCUAAUUAUAUUGUUCUAUUAUGCACCGAGAGUGUAAAUUUGGAACGAAUCGAUGUCAAUAUUCACAAGAACCAAAACCGGAACAACAUUAGACUACUCUGUUGCG
RNAcentral lists this long non-coding RNA (13006 nucleotides) under Ananas comosus (pineapple). RNAcentral describes it as "long non-coding RNA (ACOM_LNC039725)". The record is from RNAcentral. Lineage: Eukaryota; Viridiplantae; Streptophyta; Magnoliopsida; Poales; Bromeliaceae.